Camellia sinensis is the source of this 1216-nucleotide non-coding RNA. Lineage: Eukaryota; Viridiplantae; Streptophyta; Magnoliopsida; Ericales; Theaceae. The record is from RefSeq and is a predicted model, not a curated record.
AGGAAAAGUGGGAGGGAGGUCGGCGAUGUCUCUCUCUGUCUCGACGCCAUAAACUCUUUGAAUACACACUAUUUACUCAUUUCACACCACAUUUGAUUUUUUUAUUUUUCGCUCAAUACACACCAUCAAUUUUUCAAUAUUCCCAAACUAUCCCCGUCUUCUCCCAUCACAACCCUAACUCCACCCUGUCGCCGCCAUCAACAGCGAGCCGCCAGUCGCCAUUCCUACUCAGCCCUUCAGGUCGCCAGCUCCUUUCGUCGCCUCCCUCUCGCCACCUGUCACAGCCCUCCUCAUGCACCUUCUCUUUUCCCUUCUUAUUCGAGUCUACACUUGUUCUCUACUUCCGACCGUCGUCAUCAGCCAUAGCCACCAAGAUCUGCUUUCCUAGUAAAAUUGCAGCCCCUCACCGCUGUGACGCACCUCCGCCACAACCCUCAUCCAUCGUGACCCCCAAAUCGCAUAAAGAGAGAGAUCCGCUGUUGCUCGAAAGAGAGAGAUCCGCCGCAAGAAAGAGGGACAGAUUAGGGUUUCACGGUGAAGAAGGAGGAGGAGGAGGAGGAGAAUGAUGUGGAAGACUGGAGGCGUGACGAGGCUUGAGGAUGAAAGAGGUGGAGUCACAAGAAGGAUGAAGAAGGGCGAGGGAGCGGUGUCGGCACAGAUUCGAAACCGGAGGCUUGUGGAUUGCAGUGGUGGUGUUUAGGGUGCAGUUCUUUGGAGAUGCUUGUAGAGUGGUUGAUUACCAUUUCAUCUAUGAUGGAAAAACUGGUAGAUUUCUUCGCCAGCGCUAUGUUCAGUUUGAGACUAGGGAAAUAGGAGUGCAGAUCAUGUCCAAUGAUGAAUACAGAAGUGUGGAGCAUAGAGUGUUGGCGAACCCCCAUGAGGAGCCGCGUGUUUCGAUUGCAGUUUUCUUCAACUCAAGCAGUAGAGAGAGAUUGUAUGGACCAUUGUCGGAGCUAGUGUCGCCAGAGAAACCAGCUCUUUAUCAACAAUUUACACUGUCAGAUUACAUGCAAAGGUUCUUCAGUAAAGAGCUGCAAGGCAAGACUUUGACAAAUUACUAUAGGCUUUGAAACACAAGAGAGCCUUAUAUGUAAGCAAUAAUGAUUGGCAAUGUUAUUUGUGAAAUUAUGAAUGUAAUAACUGGUUAAAUAAUUUACUCUUUACCAAAAUUUAUAUUCUUGUCGAACAAAUUUUUAUGGAAAAUUAAGCUAUACGA